RNAcentral lists this long non-coding RNA (356 nucleotides) under Androctonus crassicauda. Lineage: Eukaryota; Metazoa; Arthropoda; Arachnida; Scorpiones; Buthidae. The record is from RNAcentral.
AUUUAUUUAUUUUUUUCUUCCCCAAUUUUUAAAAUUUUUUACUUUGUAUUUUAUGCUGAACUUUAUGGACAAUAUUUUUAUUAGUCAAAGAUAAAAAUUUGGUAAUUUCAUUUCUUUAGAGCAGUGGUUCUCAAGCUUCCUAAUGGUGAGGAACUGUAUUAAAGGGUCACAUGUUGUGGUGACCCCCAACCAUAAAAUUAUUUUCGUUGCUACUUCAUAACUGUAAUUUUGCUAUUGUUAUGAAUCAUAAUAUAAAUAUCUGAUAUGCAGGAUUUAUUUUCAUUGUUACAUAUUGAACAUAAUUAAAGCAUAGUGAUUAAUCACAAAAACAAUAUGUAAUUAUAUAUUGUGAAAUA